Brassica oleracea var. oleracea is the source of this 332-nucleotide long non-coding RNA. RefSeq lists it as uncharacterized. Lineage: Eukaryota; Viridiplantae; Streptophyta; Magnoliopsida; Brassicales; Brassicaceae. The record is from RefSeq and is a predicted model, not a curated record. The transcript is spliced from 2 exons.
AAGAAGGAUUCUUACUGACUUAAGUUUGUUUUGGAUUUGCAGCUUGUUCUGAGGCAACGUUUUGGCUCUGUAAUCUUUAAAAAAACUUCCUCUUCGUUAUGUGAUACUUUGUUUUGUCUCUGUCUUUGUCGUUGUGUGGAACAUGUUUGGUUAAGCUUAUAUUUAGUGCAGUUUGGUUAUCUUCUCUGUAGGUACAAUAUGAGGAUGCUGCUUUGCUUUUUAUUUCUCUACGGGCUCGUCAUAGUGACAACAGGGCCAGCAUGCAGAACCAUUUGUCCAAGACAUGUCUACAAAUGAUGCAGACAAUCAAUAGCAAGAACCAAAAACACAAA